This 434-nucleotide ribosomal RNA is filed under the name uncultured bacterium. Its description in RNAcentral is "bacterial SSU rRNA". It matches the Rfam family "Bacterial small subunit ribosomal RNA", at positions 29 to 507 of the family's 1533-position model. The record is from RNAcentral.
AACGAACGCUGGCGGCAGGCCUAACACAUGCAAGUCGAGCGAACCCUUCGGGGUUGGCGGCGGACGGGUUAGUAACGCGUGGGAAUAUACCCUUUGGUACGGAAUAGCCUCGGGAAACUGAGAGUAAUACCGUAUGUGCCCUUCGGGGGAAAGAUUUAUCGCCAAAAGGAUUAGCCCGCGUUGGAUUAGAUAGUUGGUGGGGUAAUGGCCUACCAAGUCUACGAUCCAUAGCUGGUUUGAGAGGAUGAUCAGCAACACUGGGACUGAGACACGGCCCAGACUCCUACGGGAGGCAGCAGUGGGGAAUCUUAGACAAUGGGCGCAAGCCUGAUCUAGCCAUGCCGCGUGGACGAUGAAGGCCUUAGGGUUGUAAAGUCCUUUCAGAUGGGAAGAUAAUGACGGUACCAUCAGAAGAAGCCCCGGCUAACUCCGUG